GGGCCUGCCCAGUGAUAUUUCAACGGCCGCGGUACUCUGACCGUGCAAAGGUAGCAUAAUCAUUUGCCCUAUAAUUAAGGGCUAGUAUGAACGGUCUAACAAGAAUGGAACUGUCUCUUUUAAAAUCCUUAGAAUUUGGUCUUUAGGUGAAGAAACCUAAAUUAUAUUGAUAGACAAGAAGACCCUAUCGAGCUUUAAAACAAUUAGUUAAACAAAUAGAUAACACUAACUUUAGCUAAAAAUUUUGGUUGGGGCGACUAAGGAACAAACAAAGCUUCCUUAAUAAAUUCUACACUAAUAAGUAAUGAUCCAAAAUAUUUGAUUAAUAAAAUUAGUUACCGUAGGGAUAACAGCAUAAUCUUCUUCAAGAGUUCUUAUCGAAAAGAAUGUUUGUGACCUCGAUGUUGGACUAGGAUACCCAAAAGAUGCAGAAGUCUUUAAAGGUUGGUCUGUUCGACCAAUAAAAUCCUACGUGAUCUAUCU
Molecule: ribosomal RNA, 483 nt
Filed under: Bithynia siamensis siamensis
Lineage: Eukaryota; Metazoa; Mollusca; Gastropoda; Littorinimorpha; Bithyniidae
Description: partial large subunit ribosomal RNA
Rfam family: Bacterial large subunit ribosomal RNA
Source: RNAcentral